Molecule: ribosomal RNA, 460 nt
Filed under: uncultured bacterium
Lineage: Bacteria
Description: partial 16S ribosomal RNA
Rfam family: Bacterial small subunit ribosomal RNA
Source: RNAcentral
CCUACGUGGGGCAGCAGUGAGGAAUAUUUGUCAAUGGGCGGAAGCCUGAACCAGCCAAGUAGCGUGCAGGAUGACGGCCCUACGGGUUGUAAACUGCUUUUAUACGGGAAUAACGCGCCUUACGUGUAGGGCUUUGCAUGUACCGUAUGAAUAAGGACCGGCUAAUUCCGUGCCAGCAGCCGCGGUAAUACGGAAGGUCCGGGCGUUAUCCGGAUUUAUUGGGUUUAAAGGGUGCGCAGGCGGAAGCGGCAAGUCAGCGGUAAAAUUGCGGGGCUCAACCUCGCCGAGCCGUUGAAACUGCUCUUCUAGAGUGGGCGAGAAGUAUGCGGAAUGCGUGGUGUAGCGGUGAAAUGCAUAGAUAUCACGCAGAACUCCGAUUGCGAAGGCAGCAUACCGGCGCCCAACUGACGCUCAUGCACGAAAGCGUGGGUAUCGAACAGGAUUAGAUACCCUUGUAGUC